RNAcentral lists this ribosomal RNA (506 nucleotides) under uncultured bacterium. RNAcentral describes it as "partial 16S ribosomal RNA". It matches the Rfam family "Bacterial small subunit ribosomal RNA", at positions 29 to 523 of the family's 1533-position model. The record is from RNAcentral.
AGUGAACGCUGGCGGUAGGCCUAACACAUGCAAGUCGAACGGCAGCACAGAGGAGCUUGCUCCUUGGGUGGCGAGUGGCGGACGGGUGAGGAAUACAUCGGAAUCUACUCUGUCGUGGGGGAUAACGUAGGGAAACUUACGCUAAUACCGCAUACGACCUACGGGUGAAAGCAGGGGAUCUUCGGACCUUGCGCGAUUGAAUGAGCCGAUGUCGGAUUAGCUAGUUGGCGGGGUAAAGGCCCACCAAGGCGACGAUCCGUAGCUGGUCUGAGAGGAUGGUCAGCCACACUGGAACUGAGACACGGUCCAGACUCCUACGGGAGGCAGCAGUGGGGAAUAUUGGACAAUGGGCGCAAGCCUGAUCCAGCCAUACCGCGUGGGUGAAGAAGGCCUUCGGGUUGUAAAGCCCUUUUGUUGGGAAAGAAAUCCAUCUGGUUAAUACCCGGGUGGGAUGACGGUACCCAAAGAAUAAGCACCGGCUAACUUCGUGCCAGCAGCCGCAGUAA